RNAcentral lists this ribosomal RNA (649 nucleotides) under uncultured bacterium. RNAcentral describes it as "bacterial SSU rRNA". It matches the Rfam family "Bacterial small subunit ribosomal RNA", at positions 859 to 1504 of the family's 1533-position model. The record is from RNAcentral.
ACUAAGUACCCCGCCUGGGGAGUACGGCCGCAAGGCUGAAACUCAAAGGAAUUGACGGGGGCCCGCACAAGCGGUGGAGCAUGUGGUUUAAUUCGAUGCAACGCGAAGAACCUUACCUGGGCUUGACAUGUCCGUGAAAGCUGGUGGAAACAUCGGCCCCUCUUCGGAGCUCGGUCACAGGUGCUGCAUGGCUGUCGUCAGCUCGUGUCGUGAGAUGUUGGGUUAAGUCCCGCAACGAGCGCAACCCUCGCUCCCAGUUGCCAGCGGUUCGGCCGGGGACUCUGGGGGGACUGCCGGUGUCAAACCGGAGGAAGGUGGGGAUGACGUCAAGUCCUCAUGGCCCUUACGCCCAGGGCGACACACGUGCUACAAUGGCCGGCACAAAGCGUUGCGAACCCGCGAGGGUAAGCCAAUCGCUAAAAGCCGGUCUAAGUUCGGAUUGCAGUCUGUAACUCGACUGCAUGAAGUCGGAAUCGCUAGUAAUCGCGGAUCAGCCACGCCGCGGUGAAUACGUUCCCGGGCCUUGUACACACCGCCCGUCACGCCAUGGAAGCUGGGGGGACCCGAAGCCGGUGGGCUAACCUUCACGGGAGGCAGCUGUCUAAGGUCAACUCAGUGACUGGGGCGAAGUCGUAACAAGGUAACCGUA